Molecule: ribosomal RNA, 497 nt
Filed under: uncultured bacterium
Lineage: Bacteria
Description: partial 16S ribosomal RNA
Rfam family: Bacterial small subunit ribosomal RNA
Source: RNAcentral
GAUGAACGCUGGCGGCGUGCCUAAUACAUGCAAGUCGAGCGAACGGACGAGAAGCUUGCUUCUCUGAUGUUAGCGGCGGACGGGUGAGUAACCCGUGGAUAACCUACCUAUAAGACUGGGAUAACUUCGGGAAACCGGAGCUAAUACCGGAUAAUAUUUUGAACCGCAUGGUUCAAAAGUGAAAGACGGUCUUGCUGUCACUUAUAGAUGGAUCCGCGCUGCAUUAGCUAGUUGGUAAGGUAACGGCUUACCAAGGCAACGAUGCAUAGCCGACCUGAGAGGGUGAUCGGCCACACUGGAACUGAGACACGGUCCAGACUCCUACGGGAGGCAGCAGUAGGGAAUCUUCCGCAAUGGGCGAAAGCCUGACGGAGCAACGCCGCGUGAGUGAUGAAGGUCUUCGGAUCGUAAAACUCUGUUAUUAGGGAAGAACAUAUGUGGAAGUAACUGUGCACAUCAUGACGGUACCUAAUCAGAAAGCCACGGCUAACUACGUG